CACGCUGUAAACGAUGAAAACUAAGUAUUGCCGCGAGGCAGUGCUGUAGCUAACGCAUUAAGUUUUCCGCCUGGGGAGUACGCUCGCAAGAGUGAAACUUAAAGGAAUUGACGGGGGCCCGCACAAGCGGUGGAGCAUGUGGUUUAAUUCGAAGCAACGCGCAGAACCUUACCAACCCUUGACAUCGGGAUCGCGGAUUUCAGAGAUGAUUUCCUUCAGUUCGGCUGGAUCCCAGACAGGUGC
Molecule: ribosomal RNA, 243 nt
Filed under: uncultured bacterium
Lineage: Bacteria
Description: partial 16S ribosomal RNA
Rfam family: Bacterial small subunit ribosomal RNA
Source: RNAcentral